GUUACACCAUAAUACAAGUUUUGUGAGAUAGAACACCUAACGGCUAACACCACCACCAUUCGAAUUCCAGUCGGCCACCACCUCGACGGGAUCAUCGCCACUGCCGGAAUAUCCACCGUCCACCGCUCCUCUACCGCCAGCAGUCAGCGCCGCCGCCCCAACGCUGAUCGGCCGUGCAUCACUAAAAGCGGGAACCGGGUUUUUGUUCUCGUUUUUUGCUGGGUUAAGCGUGAAGGAGUUCAUGGUUUUGAAAGAGAUCGGGUUUCUGAGCUAUGGGCCAAGAGGUUCGUUUCAAGGAGUUGAUUCGGGAUCUCGAAUUUUGUGAACCGUGACGUUUGUUGCUUCCAUCGUGUAGAUCUUAGGUUUUCAUCAAAAAGGUAUGUUUAAAAUAAUAUAAACGCUUCUGCCACUAUUUAAUACGAGAUAUUAAUAAAUAAAUAAAUA
This 444-nucleotide long non-coding RNA is filed under the name Helianthus annuus (common sunflower). Its description in RNAcentral is "hypothetical non coding rna". The record is from RNAcentral. Lineage: Eukaryota; Viridiplantae; Streptophyta; Magnoliopsida; Asterales; Asteraceae.